RNAcentral lists this transfer RNA (74 nucleotides) under Phycisphaerales bacterium. RNAcentral's name for it is "tRNA-Ile". It matches the Rfam family "tRNA". Rfam says of the family: Transfer RNA (tRNA) molecules are approximately 80 nucleotides in length. Their secondary structure includes four short double-helical elements and three loops (D, anti-codon, and T loops). The record is from RNAcentral. Lineage: Bacteria; Pseudomonadati; Planctomycetota; Phycisphaerae; Phycisphaerales.
GGGCUCGUAGCUCAGUUGGUUAGAGCGUACCCCUGAUAAGGGUAAGGUCGUUGGUUCGACUCCAACCGGGCCCA